Molecule: ribosomal RNA, 253 nt
Filed under: uncultured bacterium
Lineage: Bacteria
Description: partial 16S ribosomal RNA
Rfam family: Bacterial small subunit ribosomal RNA
Source: RNAcentral
UACGUAGGGUGCAAGCGUUGUCCGGAAUUAUUGGGCGUAAAGCGCUCGCAGGUGGUUCGUCGCGUCGUGCGUGAAAGACCCCGGCUCAACUGGGGAGGGUCGUGCGAUACGGGCGGACUGGAGGCCAGUAGGGGGAUGCGGAAUUCCGGGUGUAGUGGUGGAAUGCGUAGAGAUCCGGAGGAACACCAGCGGCGAAGGCGGCAUCCUGGACUGGUCCUGACACUCAGGAGCGAAAGCGUGGGGAGCGAUCCGG